This 613-nucleotide ribosomal RNA is filed under the name uncultured bacterium. RNAcentral's name for it is "bacterial SSU rRNA". It matches the Rfam family "Bacterial small subunit ribosomal RNA", at positions 147 to 826 of the family's 1533-position model. The record is from RNAcentral.
CCCGUCGAAAGGCGGCCUAACACGAUAUGGAGAAGGAUGGGGAUGCGUCUGAUUAGCUUGUUGGCGGGGUAACGGCCCACCAAGGCGACGAUCAGUAGGGGUUCUGAGAGGAAGGUCCCCCACAUUGGAACUGAGACACGGUCCAAACUCCUACGGGAGGCAGCAGUGAGGAAUAUUGGUCAAUGGGCGAGAGCCUGAACCAGCCAAGUAGCGUGCAGGAUGACGGCCUAUGGGUUGUAAACUGCUUUUAUGCGGGGAUAGGUACCGCAUGAAUAAGGACCGCCUAAUUCCGUGCCAGCAGCCGCGGUAAUACGGAAGGUCCGGGCGUUAUCCGGAUUUAUUGGGUUUAAAGGGAGCGUAGGCCGUCUGAUAAGCGUGUUGUGAAAUGUCGGGGCUCAACCUGGGCAUUGCAGCGCGAACUGUCAGACUUGAGUGCGCGGGAAGUAGGCGGAAUUCGUCGUGUAGCGGUGAAAUGCUUAGAUAUGACGAAGAACUCCGAUUGCGAAGGCAGCCUGCUGUAGCGCAACUGACGCUGAAGCUCGAAAGCGUGGGUAUCGAACAGGAUUAGAUACCCUGGUAGUCCACGCGGUAAACGAUGGAUGUUCGCUGUUUG